RNAcentral lists this ribosomal RNA (252 nucleotides) under uncultured bacterium. RNAcentral describes it as "partial 16S ribosomal RNA". It matches the Rfam family "Bacterial small subunit ribosomal RNA", at positions 524 to 775 of the family's 1533-position model. The record is from RNAcentral.
GACGUAGGAGGCGAGCGUUGUCCGGAGUCACUGGGCGUAAAGGGCGCGUAGGCGGCCCUGCGCGCCGGGGGUGAAAGGCCGCGGCUCAACCGCGGGACGGCCUCCGGGACGGCAGGGCUGGGGGGCGGCAGGGGCGGACGGAAUUCCCGGUGUAGUGGUGAAAUGCGUAGAUAUCGGGAGGAACACCCGCAGCGAAGGCGGCCCGCUGGGCCGACCCCGACGCUGAGGCGCGAAGGCCGGGGGAGCGAACGG